GACGAACGCUGGCGGCGUGCUUAAUACGUGCAAGUCGAACGGAAAGGCCCUGCUUUUGCGGGGUGCUCGAGUGGCGAACGGGUGAGUAACACGUGGGUAACCUGCCCUUGACUUUGGGAUAACUCUAGGAAACUGGGGCUAUUACAGGAUAGGAGCUCUUGCUGCAUGGUGGGGGUUGGAAAGUUUCGGCGGUUGGGGAUGGACUCGCGGGUUAUCAGCUUGUUGGUGGGGUAGUGGCUUACCAAGGUUUUGACGGGUAGCCGGCCUGGGAGGGUGACCAGCCACAUUGGGACUGAGAUACGGCCCAGACGCCUACGGGAGGCAGCAGUGGAGAGUAUUGCACAAUGGGCGGGAGCCUGAUGCAGCGACGCCGCGUGCGGGAUGACGGCCUUCGGGUUGUAAACCGCUUUCGCCUGUGACGAAGCGUGAGUGACGGUAAUGGGUAAAGAAGCACCGGCUAACUACGUG
This 468-nucleotide ribosomal RNA is filed under the name uncultured bacterium. RNAcentral's name for it is "partial 16S ribosomal RNA". It matches the Rfam family "Bacterial small subunit ribosomal RNA", at positions 28 to 507 of the family's 1533-position model. The record is from RNAcentral.